Molecule: unclassified non-coding RNA, 148 nt
Organism: Papio anubis (olive baboon)
Lineage: Eukaryota; Metazoa; Chordata; Mammalia; Primates; Cercopithecidae
Rfam family: Metazoan signal recognition particle RNA
About the family: The signal recognition particle (SRP) is a universally conserved ribonucleoprotein. It is involved in the co-translational targeting of proteins to membranes.
Source: Ensembl
GCUGGAUGUGGUAGCGCACACUUGUAGUCCCAGCUACCUGGGAGGCUGAGAUGGGAGGAUCACCUGAGCCCAGGAGGUCAAGGUUGCAGUGAGCCAUGAUCAUGCCACUGCACUCCAGCCUGGGCAACAGAGUGAGAUCCUGUCUCCA